Molecule: non-coding RNA, 883 nt
Organism: Pelobates cultripes (western spadefoot toad)
Lineage: Eukaryota; Metazoa; Chordata; Amphibia; Anura; Pelobatidae
Source: the annotation of a GenBank genome assembly
ACUAUUCCUACUCAUGACAAUGACCUCCCUAGGCAACAUAACGUGGUCAAACCACGCUGAAAUAUCAAUAACGUUUCAGCCACCACGGAUCUCCAGACCCUGGUCCUGGAGAUUCAAUCCGAUAUUACUCCAUGACCCACAAAUCGUACAACAAAUCAAAACAGAACUAAAAAACUAUUUCGCCAUAAACAAGGAUUCAGUACAAUCAAAAGCAAUACUAUGGGCUGCUCAUAAAAUGGCCACAUAGAAAAAACUCUAGCAACCAUUAGGGACCUUGAAUCCCAACAUAAAAGCACCCCCACCCCAGACCUUACUACAUAACUCCAACACCAAAGACAGGUCCUCAGAAAUGCAAUGGCAGUAGACGCCACCAGAGCCCUCCAAUGGACAAAGCAAAUGUACUAUGAAAAGUCCAAUAAGGCUGACACGCCCCUGGCGCGCAGGCUGCGCAAGCGUAUCCAGACAAAGCAGAUAACACGCAUUCGCACACCAUUGGGACACAACACAGAGAUACCCACAAAAAUCACGGAGACAUUCCAACAAUACUUUGCAGACCUAUAUGACCACUCCCCUCAACACAGACCACGAACUGCCAACCUGUCGGACCGCAUCCUAACCUUUCUGGACCGAACCCACCUGCCCACACUAUCAGAUAGCGUGAUCACUCAAAUCUCCAUGGAGAUCUCAGAGCAAGAAGUAGCAACUGCGAUAGGGGCCACUAAACCCAACAAAAGCCCAGGACCAGACAGAUAUUCGGGCAUAUAUUACAAAACAUUCCAAGACACCCUCCUGCUCCACCUAGUACAACUAUACAACUCCCUGCUACAGGGACACCCACUUUCCAAAUAAAUGCUACAGGCCAACAUCUGCCUUCUACCCAAAC